GGAAGAUACGUCAUCUGGUUGCGCGCGGUGCUUCUUCACUUUCGCUUGCUGCCGGGAGAGGAGUGGGUGUGCUUUCCAAGCCGGGCGCCUUCAUCAACUGGGAAAUCUGAUACUGAUUUUGAAGUGGGAAGGAAGACCCUGUGCAAAGUGCUUUCGCUUGUUUUCAUAGAAAGCUUGGAUCAUCUGAAGCCUUUUGUGGAGCGUGAUACACCCAUUCACUGCUAUGCACAGAGUGCAGCAUGAAGACAGUAGGAGUGCAGUAGGCAUAGACGUCUACGGAAGAUGGAGAGGGCCCAUCCUGGAGCUAUUUCACCACACUGCUAUGGACAAGGCCAGAUCUCACCCCAGGCACAGUGAGCAUGACCCCCAGGAGGCCAAACAGGAUCCCUGCUCAGCCAUCCAGAGACAUGCUGCCUCUCAUGCCAUUUUGUUCAGCAGCAUAAGGCACCAUCUAAGGGUACCUUUCUCAAGUUUAAUUUUAUAAAGUACUUUCUUCCUUGCGUAUGCUCACCUGACAAUUUCCUGUGCUAAAAUACAAAUGAAACCAUCUUCUAAAUUUUUUUUUCAGACAAAAUCAGUCAGCUCUGUUUCUCCGAUGAUGCCAUGGAUUUUCAAAAGACUCUGUUGAAGUAUUUUUGAGACACUGUGCAUUUAUCUGUGCAGAGAAGAACUACAAUGUCUGUGAACUGCUUUUUGUCAUUCUCACAUUUAGAUUUUCAGAGAAGUUCAGCAUUCAGUGAAUAAACUUUAUGGUCUUCAGGGUUAUGUAUGGUCUAGCAGUGUAGCUAAGCAGUAGAUUUGCAAAACAAAACAAAUAAUGUUUAAGAUCCAGUGUCCCCGAUGUACACAUUUCAAGGGGAGUUUAAUUUAGAUUGGUCCUUGUGUUGCCCAUGAGCUUUGUCCCUUUUUGCAGUUGGUGUAUUUUCACAAUGCUUCCAGGGAAUAUAUCCCAGUUUAGUUCCAUCAUAAAGGAAUCUGGUUGGCAUUUUCCAAGGUGACUGCAUGAGCUGAACAAUCCUCUUUUAAAUGUGUAAACAGUUAUACUCCAGGCUACAGAAGAAACAGCAGUACCCAGAAUGAUUCAUUUUGCAGGAAAGUAAAACUAGCAGAAGUGUCAAUGAUCUUUCUUGUUGAUGUUUUCAAUUAAUUUAUUUGGAACCACUUGUCAGGAACUGUAUUUUUAGCUAGGUCUUCAUGAUAAAUUAAGAUGGAAAGGUCUGUAGGUCCUAGUACUGACAGGUAAAAGAGAUGGUGCUUUUUCCUUCUUGACAUUCUAGUUUUCCUCUUCUCUAUGUGCAACUGGUGUGCAGUGAAAGGAUGUUACUCAUGUUGUUAGAGGCCAUAUUUUCCCAUCCAACAUAAGAGUAUAUACUUCAGAGAAGCAGGAGUAACAGCAGGCUGUGAAGGAACCCAGUGGUGAUCAGGAGAAGUAACUGUGUCUCCAAAGGUCCAGUACCUUCCAGAUAACAUAACAAAACAUAACAACAACAAAUAUAUAUGUACAUAUAUAAAUAAUAAAAAAUAUCCCUGGAAAGUAUACUCUCGCCUGUCACACUCUAGUACAGCACCCUGUGCUGUCAAGUAAAUGUUUUUGCAAAUGUUACGUUUUCCUCAUCUCUUCAAUUGUUUUUUUCUUUCAGCUAUAUACUGUUAUCACAGAUGAUCUGAUUUCAAGGAACAAAAAAAUGUCUCUUUUUGUAAUAAAGCAG
Gallus gallus (chicken) is the source of this 1709-nucleotide long non-coding RNA. The record is from Ensembl. Lineage: Eukaryota; Metazoa; Chordata; Aves; Galliformes; Phasianidae.